RNAcentral lists this ribosomal RNA (455 nucleotides) under Pseudoalteromonas sp. L5. RNAcentral describes it as "bacterial SSU rRNA". It matches the Rfam family "Bacterial small subunit ribosomal RNA", at positions 1 to 467 of the family's 1533-position model. Lineage: Bacteria; Pseudomonadati; Pseudomonadota; Gammaproteobacteria; Alteromonadales; Pseudoalteromonadaceae. The record is from RNAcentral.
UAGAGUUUGAUCCUGGCUCAGAUUGAACGCUGGCGGCAGGCCUAACACAUGCAAGUCGAGCGGUAACAUUUCUAGCUUGCUAGAAGAUGACGAGCGGCGGACGGGUGAGUAAUGCUUGGGAACAUGCCUUGAGGUGGGGGACAACCAUUGGAAACGAUGGCUAAUACCGCAUAAUGUCUACGGACCAAAGGGGGCUUCGGCUCUCGCCUUUAGAUUGGCCCAAGUGGGAUUAGCUAGUUGGUGAGGUAACGGCUCACCAAGGCGACGAUCCCUAGCUGGUUUGAGAGGAUGAUCAGCCACACUGGAACUGAGACACGGUCCAGACUCCUACGGGAGGCAGCAGUGGGGAAUAUUGCACAAUGGGCGCAAGCCUGAUGCAGCCAUGCCGCGUGUGUGAAGAAGGCCUUCGGGUUGUAAAGCACUUUCAGUCAGGAGGAAAGGUUAGUAGUUAAUAC